GCCCUUGUAGUGUAGUGGUAAUCACGUUUCCUUUACACGGAAAAGGUCCCCGGUUCGAACCCGGGCGAGGGCA
Molecule: transfer RNA, 73 nt
Filed under: Anncaliia algerae PRA339
Lineage: Eukaryota; Fungi; Microsporidia; Tubulinosematidae
Description: tRNA-Val (TAC) (tRNA-Val-TAC-1-1)
Rfam family: tRNA
About the family: Transfer RNA (tRNA) molecules are approximately 80 nucleotides in length. Their secondary structure includes four short double-helical elements and three loops (D, anti-codon, and T loops). Further hydrogen bonds mediate the characteristic L-shaped molecular structure. tRNAs have two regions of fundamental functional importance: the anti-codon, which is responsible for specific mRNA codon recognition, and the 3' end, to which the tRNAs corresponding amino acid is attached (by aminoacyl-tRNA synthetases). tRNAs cope with the degeneracy of the genetic code in two manners: having more than one tRNA (with a specific anti-codon) for a particular amino acid; and 'wobble' base-pairing, i.e. permitting non-standard base-pairing at the 3rd anti-codon position.
Source: Rfam by way of RNAcentral